This 460-nucleotide ribosomal RNA is filed under the name uncultured bacterium. RNAcentral describes it as "partial 16S ribosomal RNA". It matches the Rfam family "Bacterial small subunit ribosomal RNA", at positions 338 to 795 of the family's 1533-position model. The record is from RNAcentral.
CCUACGGGUGGCAGCAGUGAGGAAUAUUGGUCAAUGGACGCAUGUCUGAACCAGCCAUGCCGCGUGCAGGAAGACGGCUCUAUGAGUUGUAAACUGCUUUUGUACGAGGGUAAACGCAGAUACGCGUAUCUGUCUGCAAGUAUCGUACGAAUAAGGAUCGGCUAACUCCGUGCCAGCAGCCACGGUAAUACGGAGGAUUCAAGCGUUAUCCGGAUUUAUUGGGUUUAAAGGGUGCGUAGGCGGUCGGAUAAGUUAGAGGUGAAAUCCCGAGGCUCAACUUCGGAAUUGCCUCUGAUACUGUUCGGCUAGAGAGUAGUAGCGGUAGGCGGAAUGUAUGGUGUAGCGGUGAAAUGCUUAGAUAUCACGCAGAACCCCGAUUGCGAAGGCAGCAUGCCGGCUUCCGACUGACGCUGAAGCACGAAAGCGUGGGGAGCGAACAGGAUUAGAUACCCCAGUAGUC